RNAcentral lists this ribosomal RNA (434 nucleotides) under uncultured bacterium. RNAcentral's name for it is "partial 16S ribosomal RNA". It matches the Rfam family "Bacterial small subunit ribosomal RNA", at positions 29 to 506 of the family's 1533-position model. The record is from RNAcentral.
AGCGAACGCUGGCGGCAGGCUUAACACAUGCAAGUCGAGCGGGCACUUUCGGGUGUCAGCGGCGGACGGGUGAGUAACGCGUGGGAACGUGCCCUCUGGUUCGGAAUAACUCAGGGAAACUUGAGCUAAUACCGGAUACGCCCUUUUGGGGAAAGGCUUGCUGCCGGAGGAUCGGCCCGCGUCUGAUUAGCUAGUUGGUGAGGUAACGGCUCACCAAGGCGACGAUCAGUAGCUGGUCUGAGAGGAUGAUCAGCCACACUGGGACUGAGACACGGCCCAGACUCCUACGGGAGGCAGCAGUGGGGAAUAUUGGACAAUGGGCGCAAGCCUGAUCCAGCCAUGCCGCGUGAGUGAUGAAGGCCUUAGGGUUGUAAAGCUCUUUUAUCCGGGACGAUAAUGACGGUACCGGAGGAAUAAGCCCCGGCGAACCUCGU